Molecule: long non-coding RNA, 1592 nt
Organism: Cavia porcellus (domestic guinea pig)
Lineage: Eukaryota; Metazoa; Chordata; Mammalia; Rodentia; Caviidae
Exons: 3
Source: RefSeq, a predicted model, not a curated record
UAGCGUUGGGCUGAGGGUGGAGCUGUUGGGUGACUGGAGUCUCAGGAUUGGAGCGGGUUUGGUGCAUGCUCAAAAAGGGAGCUGGAGGUUUAUUUCUGCAAUUCGAGGAAGAACACACAAGUUACUUUUGGAGAGAUGAGUUAGGCGGACGUCAUGUUAGUGAUUGCUCAGACUCAGGCUGACAGAAUCUGCCAAUCCCCACCUAGCUUCCCGAAUCCCAGGAAGUUGCCCACUCUUGGGCCUGCGAGCUGCCCCAGCCAGUGUGGAAAACUUCCAUGUUCACCCCCAAAACCUUCGCGACGUUCCACCCACCUCCAAAAUUGAUCCACUUCUGGCCAGGACUGAACGGACCUCUGGGACCAGCGCUGCCUCAGGGCCUCUGGUACACCGAGCCGAGCCCACACUGUGUCCUCGCCUUUCCUUAAUUUUAUUUUGAGACAGGAUCUAGGAAACAAUUCCUUGACUCCUACUGAUAUAAGAGGUUCUGAGACUCUGGCAUCCAGUUCCCUGGAUUGAUAAAGGGUCACUUGGGGUGGACAGGCCAGCUCAAGUCCAUCCUCUGGAACCAAUGGUGCCCGCCUGGUUGCUUAGCACUCAACAGUCCACCAACCACAGCUGGGAGAGUGGAGGCUGGUGCUUGCUCCCCACACCUGCCGCACUGCUCCAGUGCACUCGGAAACCGGAAACCGCAAGGUUCCCUGGCUGUGACUGAGAGAGGUUCCCAAACUAGCUGUGCUUGCAGUAAAGUGCGCGGGCCACUUAUGCCAGGUUGCCAGGCCUCUGGAACUGGUGGUGCCUGCCUGCUUGCUUAGCACUCCACAGUCCUCCAAGCACAGCCAGGAACGGAACGGGGAGAUAGAUGCAGGCAUCCCAGCCCCACCAAGCUGUUGCAGUGCACCUGGAAGCCACGAGAUUCCCAAACAAGCUGGACUCGGAGGGAAAGUGCACAGAGCAUUUACGCUAGGCCGCUGGGCCUCUGGAACUAGUGGCGCCCACCUGCUUGCUUAGAACUCCACAGUACUUCAAGCACAGCCAGGAAUGGGAAGGUGGAUACAGGCACCCCAGACCUGCCGAGCUGUUCCAGUGCACCCGGAAGCCAUGAGGGUCCCAAACAAGCUGAACUUGGGGGAAAGUGCUCGGGGCACUUACCCCAGUACGAGAGGUCUCUGGAACGGGUGGCACCCGCAUGCUUGCUUAGAACUCCACCUGAUCAACUAUUUCUAAGAUGACAAUAUGUAAUUUGUUAACUAGUGAUUUCUUACUGUUUUUUUUAAUUCUGUAUGACUUGUACCCUUUUACUGUUUUGUUUUUCUCUUUAAGUAAAAAAAAUUUUAAAAAAAUAUCAACUCUGUCUUUACAAUCUAUAGCAUUCCUGGAAAUUCCCCUCCCCAAACUCACAGUAUUGCAAAUUAUCCUGUUGAGCUCUUUGCUUUUGAUUUGCAGCAUAAAGCUGGCUAACAGCCCCCAACAAUAGCCAUGCCACAGAAAGCAUUUUCUCUUUUACCUUUUUACUUUAUUCAAAACCACUUUUUUUUACUUAUUACUAGUCAAUUACUUUUUCUCUUGAUUGUCAGACAACAUUAAAACCUUUA